RNAcentral lists this ribosomal RNA (464 nucleotides) under Vreelandella stevensii. RNAcentral's name for it is "partial 16S ribosomal RNA". It matches the Rfam family "Bacterial small subunit ribosomal RNA", at positions 339 to 795 of the family's 1533-position model. The record is from RNAcentral. Lineage: Bacteria; Pseudomonadati; Pseudomonadota; Gammaproteobacteria; Oceanospirillales; Halomonadaceae.
CCACGGGAGGCUGCAGUGGGGAAUAUUGGACAAUGGGGGGAACCCUGAUCCAGCCAUGCCGCGUGUGUGAAGAAGGCCCUCGGGUUGUAAAGCACUUUCAGUGAGGAAGAACGCCUGGUGGUUAAUACCCAUCAGGAAAGACAUCACUCACAGAAGAAGCACCGGCUAACUCCGUGCCAGCAGCCGCGGUAAUACGGAGGGUGCGAGCGUUAAUCGGAAUUACUGGGCGUAAAGCGCGCGUAGGUGGCUUGAUAAGCCGGUUGUGAAAGCCCCGGGCUCAACCUGGGAACGGCAUCCGGAACUGUCAAGCUAGAGUGCAGGAGAGGAAGGUAGAAUUCCCGGUGUAGCGGUGAAAUGCGUAGAGAUCGGGAGGAAUACCAGUGGCGAAGGCGGCCUUCUGGACUGACACUGACACUGAGGUGCGAAAGCGUGGGUAGCAAACAGGAUUAGAUACCCCAGUAGUC